CCUACGGGUGGCAGCAGUGAGGAAUAUUGGUCAAUGGGCGUAAGCCUGAACCAGCCAAGUAGCGUGCAGGAUGACGGCCCUAUGGGUUGUAAACUGCUUUUAUGCGGGGAUAAAGUUGGGGACGUGUCCCUUUUUGCAGGUACCGCAUGAAUAAGGACCGGCUAAUUCCGUGCCAGCAGCCGCGGUAAUACGGAAGGUCCGGGCGUUAUCCGGAUUUAUUGGGUUUAAAGGGAGCGUAGGCAGUUUUUUAAGCGUGCUGUGAAAUGUACCGGCUCAACCGGUGAUGUGCAGCGCGAACUGGGAAUCUUGAGUACGCAGUAAGCAGGCGGAAUUCGUGGUGUAGCGGUGAAAUGCUUAGAUAUCACGAAGAACUCCGAUUGCGUAGGCAGCUUGCUGUAGCGUAACUGACGCUGAAGCUCGAAAGUGCGGGUAUCGAACAGGAUUAGAUACCCGUGUAGUC
RNAcentral lists this ribosomal RNA (460 nucleotides) under uncultured Prevotella sp. RNAcentral's name for it is "bacterial SSU rRNA". It matches the Rfam family "Bacterial small subunit ribosomal RNA", at positions 338 to 795 of the family's 1533-position model. Lineage: Bacteria; Pseudomonadati; Bacteroidota; Bacteroidia; Bacteroidales; Prevotellaceae. The record is from RNAcentral.